UCAACACAAUUAAAGAACAAAUCUUGGAUCUUCACUGCCAUGAGGUAAUCACUGAGAUACUGUUUUUACUUGGUGGAUGAUAGGUGUAGACCUAAUUGAGAUCACUAAGCUUAAUUUUACAUAAGGUUCUAUAUCUUGGUUGACAAAAUUUAUAUAAUUUGAUUGUGAAGCAUAUAUUUUUUUUCAGUUACUGCACCUACAAGGAUAACCAGUUAUGAUGAUAAUGAAACAUCAUUGAUGGAGAUAAUCAAACUAGAACAAUGACUUCUCUCCUAUAUAAUUGAAAAUCCUUUCAAUGUCAGACUUCCGAGGUUUUAGCGUACCUGGCUGCGUGUGAUGAUACAAUUCUCCUAGCAGGUGCAACUUGCAAAUCAUAAUCAACUCAUCGACCAUUACAGCUCGAAGCAUCCAAAGGAGAAGCCUCCCAGCGAAUCGUAGUGAUUCAUCUUCAAGUUACGUCUGAAGAUUGAAAAGUUACACUUUAUGUUCCACCCGAAAGCGUUUGUCAACUUAAAUUGAAACUUCUGUGUGCGUCUAUCUAUAUUCUCUAUCUUCAUUUUCCUUGGAGAACCGUUAUGGUAUUGCUCUUUGCUACUGGAUAAAUUUCCUCUGCACAAUAAUCUGUCAGUUUAUUAUAAGUCAAUGAAUUGUUUCAAUCCCUACUUGUA
Molecule: long non-coding RNA, 668 nt
Organism: Zingiber officinale
Lineage: Eukaryota; Viridiplantae; Streptophyta; Magnoliopsida; Zingiberales; Zingiberaceae
Exons: 3
Source: RefSeq, a predicted model, not a curated record